AAUAUGGAAUCCAUACUAUCAUAUUCCCAUUUUCUGAAAACUUAACCAUGAGUUGGGGCUUCAAGGACAGGAGGCUUCUGACAUUGGGUUAUCUGAUGGCACAACACCAAAGAGACAUUCUACACUGGUUUGAACUGAGAGCAAUGGACCUGAGACCAUUCUUGAAACCAGGAGUAAGGAAGGAAGGACCAGCGAAGAAAGAGCUUUCUUAAUGAAAAGAUAUUACCAAGGGGUUGCACAGACCAUUUCCACCACACCCCAUUGGCAAGAAUGUGUUUUAUUUUUGGUGGCUCAGGUCUAUAUUAAAGAAGAAACGAAUGGAUACCGGAUGACAACUCUGCCAUGGCAGGUAUGUUUUCAAGAAGUUUUAUUGUAAAA
Molecule: long non-coding RNA, 378 nt
Filed under: Homo sapiens (human)
Lineage: Eukaryota; Metazoa; Chordata; Mammalia; Primates; Hominidae
Description: long non-coding RNA NONHSAT194146.1
Source: RNAcentral